This 273-nucleotide ribosomal RNA is filed under the name uncultured bacterium. RNAcentral's name for it is "partial 16S ribosomal RNA". It matches the Rfam family "Bacterial small subunit ribosomal RNA", at positions 523 to 796 of the family's 1533-position model. The record is from RNAcentral.
AUACGGAGGGUGCAAGCGUUACUCGGAAUCACUGGGCGUAAGCGCGCGCAGGCGGCUAUUUAAGUUGGAUGUGAAAGCCUACGGCUCAACCGUAGAACUGCAUCCAAAACUAUUUAGCUAGAGUGUGGGAGAGGAAGAUGGAAUUAGUUGUGUAGGGGUAAAAUCCGUAGAGAUAACUAGGAAUACCAAAAGCGAAGGCAAUCUUCUGGAACAGUACUGACGCUGAGGCGCGAAAGCGUGGGGAGCAAACAGGAUUAGAAACCCUAGUAGUCC